AGUUGAGUUGAGUUGAGUUGAGUCCCAAAAUGAUUGUCCUCUAUUCCUUUUUGGGAUGUCACAAAAUACAAGCCAUUAUCACAAAGUCUAUAAUUCUUGGAUUUGGUUUUCCUAUUUUAACUCAUUAAUUCUUCAAUUUGAAUAAUGAACUUCAGAGUAAAAUGGGAGAUUAAAUGUAAUUUUUUAUAUUUUUAAGGCAGAUAACUCUAAAUAAAGGGAAAGAUUCCAAUUUUUCUAAGAGGUAAUGAGGGGGGGUAUAAAAGGAAGAAUGGAAUGCCAAAUGUAAGUUGACAUGAUAAUAAUUAUGUUUUCUUAAACUGUGAGAAAAAUGAUAAGUGUGAACUUUUUUGGGAUGGAGGGAGUAUUUGAUGUUGCUAUGAGUUCCUUGAAUUUGAUAAGAAAUUAAGAAUUUGGGGAACAGGGAAACUGUUAAUUCUCUUGUUCGUGGGAAUUUGGAGGUAUCUCGUAUAUAGAGCUGCACUUUGUUGUUUUUCAUUUUUUGUGAGUAAAUAAUCCUAAUAUAUGGGCUUGGGUUCUCUUCUUUGGCUUUAAUACAGAUGUGAGUAGUUCUUAGCAAAAUGUCUUUUGCUAAGCCUCUUGCACUCAAUUGAGUGAAGCCUAAGAGAAAGAGACAGGUGUUUACUGAAUUUUCUCUUUGUUCUUUUUACAUCUUCCAUGGAAUUUGUCUAAACAACUACACAGUAAUGAGAUUGAAUUAUCAAUUAUUAAUUUGAUACGCUACAUAGCCAUUGCAAAUUUUGGGUGCACAAUAUAUGGUCCUGUGAAUAAAAUUUAGGAUCUGGAGUGGUCUUAGACCACAUUUUGGCAAGAAGGGGCUUUGAUCACUUCUCUGGAUAGUUGCUUUCAGUUUGACUGACAGCAUUUUGAUCUCAGUAAGUGGCUUUGUUGAUAGACCAAGUACUUGUUAUUCUUUCUAUUCUUCUUUUAACCCUUCUCAGCAUUUUGACUAAUCCUAGGUAAUUGUAAUCAACCAAAUAGCAAUUGUGAUAGCCAUGAUGACAACCAUGGUGAGGUUGAGGAGUUGUCUAAGUUGCCACUGCAGUUAGCUAUUGUAGGGCGGCCCAAUGUUGGAAAGUCAACCUUGCUGAAUACAUUGUUACAAGAAGAACGUGUGCUGGUGGGUCCAGAGGUUGGUUUGACCAGAGAUUCUAUUAGAGCUCAUUUCCAUUUUCAAGGGAGAACCAUAUAUCU
This 1212-nucleotide unclassified non-coding RNA is filed under the name Hevea brasiliensis (rubber tree). The record is from RNAcentral. Lineage: Eukaryota; Viridiplantae; Streptophyta; Magnoliopsida; Malpighiales; Euphorbiaceae.